UGAGAGCUCACUGAAGUCUGC
This 21-nucleotide microRNA is filed under the name Medicago truncatula (barrel medic). RNAcentral describes it as "mtr-miR5252". The record is from miRBase by way of RNAcentral. Lineage: Eukaryota; Viridiplantae; Streptophyta; Magnoliopsida; Fabales; Fabaceae.